RNAcentral lists this ribosomal RNA (39 nucleotides) under Podosphaera fuliginea. RNAcentral describes it as "partial 28S ribosomal RNA". The record is from RNAcentral. Lineage: Eukaryota; Fungi; Ascomycota; Leotiomycetes; Helotiales; Erysiphaceae.
GAUGACCUCGGAUCAGGUAGGGAUACCCGCUGAACUUAA